CCCCGGCCGUGCCCGGCGGGUCGCGGCCAAGGGACCACGGGGACGGUGCGGGCUGCGGCAGGUCCCUUCUAGCACAGGCAGUCAAGGUGGAAUUUUUUAGCCAAGCCUUUGCACUGUGCCUGAAUAAGCUAGGGCUUAUUCAGAAGUGUGUUGCUUGUGUGCAUGGAGGAUACUGCUGUCCCCUUCUUAUCCAGGUGAUCUCAGUAUGAAGAACAUGAAGUUGAUUUCAUAUUCAGCUACAAACUGUUCUGUUGGGACUCUGCAGUUAUCUGAAAGAACAGGACAGCUGCAGGUGCAGGGACUGUCACAGAGUGGGCUGUGGGGAAUGCUGCAGGGGGGAAUCAGGUAUAUCGUAAAAGCAGGAAAGCUAUCCAUUUUUGGCAGUGAAUUCCUACAGGCUUUGGGGAAUAGCAUUAAUAACUUAAGUAAUACAAAAGGAAGAUGGAAAUCAUGUUUGUGGAUCCUUUCGCAAGUAUAGUAAUUUAUUUCUUUUAAGAGCUGCAGGAGAAACAGGUAGGUACAACCAUCCUGUUAUUUUUAUUUUUUUAACUACUUCACCAGAUGUUAAUAUGACUUUUCUCUUCUCCUUUUGUGCUGUUCUGUGCUCAUCUCAGAUUUUUAAGGGCAUGCAGGAGCCAAAAGCUGUAAAAGAGGCAAACACUUUCAGGUGGAAUUCUAGUUUGCCUAUGUGAUAUUGAAGAAAUUCAGUGAGUAGGUUAGUGGAAGAUGUGGGUGGGACCAUCUGAAGAUACUAAUGUCCACUGGAGUGACUGCAAAGUAAUGACUGAGACGCUUUUACCAUUUGUACUUGAAUGAAGGGAGACUUGUGAUCAAACUUGGAUUCCUUCACGAUUGUCAUUGGAAAAGAGAAGAGCUCCAGAAAAACAAGGUGGUCUUCAGAGAGUCUCAGAUUUCACUUAGCCUUAAUCUGAGUUGAGAAAGGAUUUUACUGUGGUGAUUGUAGAAUUUCGUUUUUCACUGUGUGAUUUUUCUAGUAAAUAUCAGAAUGUUUUAAUUCUUGUAAGCUUUUUUCUUUCAUUUUUUCCAAUGCUUCUUCAUUGUCCUGAAAUAAGGAAGCUUAUAUAUAUAUAAAGCCACAGUCUUUUUAAAACUUUGUGUGCAUGCGUGUUCUUAAGAUGUUCAUAAGCUCUUGUUGUUUCUGCUUCGAUGGACAAUGAAUGUACUGUGUUUGUGUUCUCUUACAACAUUUGAAUGUAAAUCCCAAGUAAAAACAUCUUCCUGACUCUUAAAUUACAUGUAUUUUGAUCUAAGUUGCAUUUCCACAUAAAGCUUCUGUGUUAAAAA
Long non-coding RNA from Numida meleagris (helmeted guineafowl), 1305 nucleotides. RefSeq lists it as uncharacterized. The transcript is spliced from 4 exons. NCBI's taxonomy places the organism in Eukaryota, Metazoa, Chordata, Aves, Galliformes, Numididae. The record is from RefSeq and is a predicted model, not a curated record.